UGGACUUGUGAUCAGGUGAAAAAAUGCAACAAGCAGGACUGGCCAUGCGUGCAAAACAGAUCCUGAAUUAUUGAAAGGCAACCAUGUGGCUGCCACCCGAGCAAACAGAGACGAACAAUAAGAGAGGAAGUCAGAGGAGCAGCUUCUAUGCUUGUCUGUCAUUCACCCCAGGUUCUGCUGGAAAGCAUUCAGCCUGGAGAAGGUCUUGGAUUCCCAAAGGCUUUUCUGUUGUGGGUUUUUUCCCUCCAAACAUACACUGAACAGCAGGACAAUGGAGUUGUGUCAACAUGCAGGAGG
This is a long non-coding RNA of Neopelma chrysocephalum (saffron-crested tyrant-manakin), 297 nucleotides long. RefSeq lists it as uncharacterized. NCBI's taxonomy places the organism in Eukaryota, Metazoa, Chordata, Aves, Passeriformes, Pipridae. The transcript is spliced from 3 exons. The record is from RefSeq and is a predicted model, not a curated record.